RNAcentral lists this RNase P RNA (368 nucleotides) under Mycoplasmataceae bacterium. RNAcentral describes it as "RNase P RNA component class B". It matches the Rfam family "Bacterial RNase P class B". Rfam says of the family: Ribonuclease P (RNase P) is a ubiquitous endoribonuclease, found in archaea, bacteria and eukarya as well as chloroplasts and mitochondria. Its best characterised activity is the generation of mature 5'-ends of tRNAs by cleaving the 5'-leader elements of precursor-tRNAs. The record is from RNAcentral. Lineage: Bacteria; Bacillati; Mycoplasmatota; Mollicutes; Mycoplasmatales; Mycoplasmataceae.
GCGAGUAAUUGACCGCUAUGGUUUCAAACUAUAGAGGAAAGUCCAUGCUUGCACAGACUGUGAUGUCUGUAAUGUUUCUGUAGAUCAAAUAAAUAGAAUCUAGCACCUGUUAACUUGGUGACGGCGAUCUAAAUACCUAAGGUUAGUCAAAUAAUACGGUAAAUAGUCAUAAAGUGCCACAGUGACGAAUUAAUGGGAAACCAUUAAGUGAAACGCGGUAAACCCCAGAAGCAAGAAACCUAAAUUUCGGUAAGGGAACGGGCAAUUAUUAAACGAAUUAAUUGCUUGAUUAAUAAAGUAAGAUUUAUUAAUAGACAAAUGGUCAAUAUUGAUUUCGAAAGAUUUCAACACAGAACAUGGCUUAUGCU